Long non-coding RNA from Cygnus olor (mute swan), 5722 nucleotides. RefSeq lists it as uncharacterized. Lineage: Eukaryota; Metazoa; Chordata; Aves; Anseriformes; Anatidae. The record is from RefSeq and is a predicted model, not a curated record. The transcript is spliced from 4 exons.
UGCCUCCCGCCGAGGGGGCGGGGCCUCCCCGGCCGCUUUCCCGCCGGCGCGCCGGGAGCGGGGGCUGGGGGCCGGGCGCGGGGUCCCCCCGGGGCAGGGCGGCAGCGGGGUCCCUCGCCCCAGCGCGGGGCGGGACGCUCCGCCCGGCGUCGUGUCACCCGGAGCACCUCGCGCCGGCUCUGUUGGCUUUGCAGCUCCGCGGCAAUCCCGCGCCGUCGCCUUCCUCGGCGCUGCAAAGCGGGUCCCUUCGGGCACGGAGCGCACGCAGCGGGAUCUCGCACCAGGAAGUCUCCGGCGUGCUCUAGACCGCUCUGUGACAUUCCUUCCAGCCCAGUGCCAUCUAGUACAGCAUUUAAAUCUCCACAUGGGAACGAGAUGGUGUUUUCAAGGAGCAUCCCUGUAGGCCAAAUGACAGAUGGCUCCAAAUGAACAGUAACAGGAAAGUUUGAUGAUGAUGAAAAUAGGUGUCAUGAUGUUCAUAGCGCCAGCGUGAAGUGCCCAGUGGAUCACCAAAGCUGCGUGGAUCAGUAAGAUCGGCGCCCCAAACUGGUUCUCGCCUAGGAACGAGGCAGAGCACUUAUAUCCCAGCCUAACGCUAUUUCUUUCAUCCCUGUUAAAGCCAAUAAGACUAUUCUAUGAGGAUUUAUCGUAAGGCGAUUUGAAGGCACCAUUAAGAAGAUCAGCCCUGUCUGCCUGCCAGGCUGUUUCCCGUCAAGAAAGUUAUGCCCCCUUAUUCUGUCGUUUGAGGCACUUCUGAAAAUGGAGACUAAACAUUUGGAAACCCACAAGAGCUCUUUGCUCUGAAUCAAGAGGCCCGUCUUUCCCAGCGGCACGGGGAGAAGUUCCAGAUUUCAUGUGGACAACUUUGGAGUAAGCUUUAGGGGCAAGAAAGUUGUGAACUGCUUUGGAGAGUAUGGUGUAGGCCUGGUCUCAAGUGGCAUCACUUAGGGGACAGAAUUUGGGAUUUUCUUAACAGGUGUAGAUGCUCCAAACUCUUACCCUGAACUCUGCUAAAUAAACACAAGCAACCUGAGGCUGUAUCUUUCCAGGUUAAAGUCUUCACCCAUCACCAUCCUCUCUGUGGAGCCUUCCUAGCCUACAGGUCUGUUUCCAGUGACCCUGCUUUUGGACUACAGUACCAGCAGACACAACAAAGGUCCAUAAAAUUAUUUUUCAGGAGAAGAAAAACAACAACAACAAAACCUGUUUCCAGAUCAAGGAGGAGCUAGCUGAAGAAUGAGAUCAACAUAGCACAGAGAUAGUCACAGGAAAGGAAAAAGACAUGUUGAGGAUGUGGCUCCAUGUGACUGCAGGGAGCCACAGAACUAUAGGGAAAACAUUUCUCUGUGGGCAGAGUUUUUAACCAGCCAAAGCAAGGCAGAGGAUAGUGAUACAAACCUCACCAAGCUCAAGUACAGGUGACUAGUCUCAUGAGGGACUGGCACCUCGCUGACCUUAUUGCCAAGCUGCCAAAGAUCAACAGAGCGCUUACAAGUCAUCUGGCGAGGAAGAAGAGCUGUGGGCAGCCUGGGCUAACCAGGGGAAGGGAGGGAGAAGGUCCCUGAAGGAAAUCUGCGGAACCUGAAGCCCUGAUCAUGAGCUUUGAACAAGCAGCCAAGAACCAAGUGGAAAUCUACCGCCGAAAUCUGGAACGAGGAGCUGGAGGCAAAAAUUUUCAUAAGGGUAAAAGGGAAUGGAGCUGGCUAACAAAGCCACCACAUUACACAGAUAACUUCAGAUAGCUUAAUUGGAUUGAAUCAGCUAAUUGGUCUACAACAAAUCAACCAAAUUUGACAUUUAACAUCCUCUAAAAGCCAAGCCAAGGGCAGACAGAGAAAAAGGACAGGCAGGGAGAAAGCAGCACCAAAGGAGGAGACAGUGGGAAGAAUGCAAGAGCCACCCCCCUUUGCAGGACAGAGGCAUCCCACCCAGAAAAUGAGAAGAUAAGGAAAGGUGAAAGACUUUCUAAGAGAAAGCCUUUGCUCACAAACCCAGCGUAGGUAAGGGGAGGGCAGAAGCAGGAUGGGCAAAUUUGAUUAGAUGUUGUUCACAGAAAUGUCCAAAAGUAAGUUGGGUGCCAUAAUGGGUGUUCAUGGUUAGGGAUUAGAGAGAUGAAAGAAUUAAUUUCAUCUUAAACACGGACACACAUCUAACCUUAGUGACGUCCCGCAAGGCUGACUCUGUUCAUACUGCAAAUUACAGCAUGCCAAGAAGCCCAGGGACCCAGAUGUUGUCUCCAGGGCACAUCAGAGCUUGUGCGCAGCAUGAGCUGUGUGCUCCGUAGGCACAGGGUGAUCUGACAGACAUCUCGGGGCCAGUGGGAAAAUUCCUCUGUUUUCACUGAUCCCGUGGUGCAGAGACCAGUGAGGAAGCUAGCACCAGUGCCACGUGGGCACGGGAGAGAAGGGAUGCAAUGGGGUACUGGCCCCCUGAAGGCAGAGGUGGUGUUCUGCACCUUAUCUACCUCUCCACAGAUGUAUGAGGCCUACCAUCUGAGCUGUUCUCUUUCCCACCUGGACUGGGGUGACUGGGCUUAUCUGGGAAGGGCUAAGGCUGACGAGGUACCAUGGGAAGGGACAAUCCCAUGGGACUGAGCUCACCUGGUCAGGUUGGGGACCCAGCCAAGCAGCAGUGCCUUGAAGUGUGUGGGAUGUGGGGGGCACCUGGGCUCACAGGGAAGGCUGGUGAGUGCCUGUGGGGUUACUGGAGCGAUGGCACCCCAACUGCACCCCUGCCCCUCUCACAAGCCCCAGGGGCUCCUGGAGAAGCUGAACGAGAGCAACCUGCAGUAGGUGCCCCGGGAUGGCAUCACCCUUCAGGCACAGACACUUUUCAAAACACAUCUAAACAAAAUGAUUGCUAUUUACAGCAUGGCUGGUCAGAGACACUCCAAAAACUGGCCUUUCUAAAACCAGCUAGCAGUGUGUUUUGUGAGAUGUUAUUUUCAGCGUGCUGUCAAAACAAAUCUCUGUCCAUGGCUGACCUGAGUGACUCCUCUUGUCAGGACAACUGCCCUUAGCAGUGACUGAACCAGUCCUAAUGCAGGGCUUCAAAAACAAGAGCAAUGGUUACUGGUUGGUUUGCACUGUCUGUAGGAUGGAGGUGGGAUAGCUGGCUCACUACAAAAGUGGCAUCUUAAGUUGGUCCUUAUUUGCUCUUGGAAUGCCAAAGCCAAGUAUUCAGAAUCAGAGUUGAACAGUUAUUGGGAAACCAUGGGCAUCUGACUCAGUCCUUGUAAUCAAAACAAGUUUGAGAAAGCGUUUAAGCCCUCCUGCCUAGGCCGAUUACUAACUGCUUGAAGGAGAGCAGGAUAUUUCAAGGUUUCAGGCCCCCUCCUCUGUAGCAUCCAGCACCAGCCACGGUCCCAGUCAGACCCAGGAUUUCAGGUCUGACUGGCCUGGUGUUUCUUCUGCUCCCAGAUCCUCGAGUUGUUUCAAAACAGAGAGGCCCAAGACACUUGGGCACACAGAGCCCUCAGGUGCAGGGCUGUGUGGGUGCCCGGCACGUAGAGGUGUGCGGCGAGGCUCAGGCCUUUCCCCCUUGUGUGUGUGGAGAAGUGCGCACAUGCUUCUCGCUUGAACGGCUGGGCCAAGUUUAGCCCCCUAUAAAACACAUCCUGCUGUAAAUCAUAAUAAGUAGCCAUUCAUAGGAGGCCUGCAAAACAGGAGGGGGUUUGUGUGUGCCAUUCUUGAAGGCAGCAGCAGCCCUUUAAAGCCUUUUAUAAGCUGUGGCAAUAUGGGCUCCCAGCAUGCUCCUUACCCUGAGUCAGCACGUAGAUGCCGGCUGGGGCACUGAAAACAACAUUUUGAGGGGGUGCUGGCAGGCUUGGGGGGGCAAACACCAACUGCUAAGCUCUAGAGGCCAGAUGAAAUCAGUGGCACCUUUCCAUCUGUCCCCAAACAGACCAGGAUGUUGGGUGUGACCUGGCACAGCGUGACAGAGACUCAGCAUCUUGGGGAUAGACUCUGAAAUAGCUCAGUGCCACAGUCCACUUUCCUUCAAGGCGUCUGCAUAGGUCCCUCUGUCCUUAACAGGGGCCUGUACAGCUCUGGCAAAUGCCAUGCUGCUUUGUGACCGCUGUGCCAUGACAGUCCCCUCCCAAGCCUGUGUCCCCAGGCUCUCUCUGCCUUUUCCCUUACAGCUGCGAUGCUCCUGCGAUGGUUUUACACCCAGCCCACGUCAGGGCUCAGCGAUGCCUCCACAGCCUUUUGCCUGAAAUGUUCUGAUGUGUCCUCGUCCUGGCUGGCCUCUGCUCUGCAGCAGCAUACCUCCCUGUGAGGCUUAUAUAAUCCACCACUGUCACCACUUCCCACUGCAUGUGUUUGUAAUGCUUUAAAUACGCAGGGAAAGGCACAGACUCCCCUCCAACAGGUACAUGCACUCAGGCAAGCCCCACUGUAAGUGAUCCCUUUACAGACCAACCCUUAUGAUAGUAGGAGUUAUUCUUUUUCCAUUUAAUAAGUGGUUGGGGUGAAGUGGUGGGGUAAAAGUUGUUUUGGGUUGCAAACAUUUAUAAACCUCUUGAAGAAGCGUGACAUGUUCCCUUCGCUGUGAGUUCUGUUGGCCUUAGGGACAACUAAAACUCACCUAUAUGCUGUGUAUGGUCCUAAGAAAGCAGGUGGUUCACUCUCCAUGGAAGAAAUAGAAGUACACAACUUCUCUGAGAUCAGUCAAUAACCUCCUGCUGGAAAACUGCUGCUACUCUCUCAGGUAAGAGUGAUAAUGCCCAUGGAAACACCAAUUACAGAAAUUAGAAAUAAUACUCAAAGUUAACCAAUUGCAUAGUAUAUACACUAUAAAAUGACCUUACAACAAAAUGCUUAUCUUCCAAAGCAUUCUUCAAGUGAGUUACAGCAUCCACUCCACACAGUGGUUGAAAGAGCUAUAGGAGCAUAGCAUCUAAAGCAAAGGGACAAUCUGCUGUCCCAGGGAAGUGAGCUGCAUCAUUAUGUCCAGCAACAACACCUGGUCUCCUAUCAGUGAGCUGGAGCUGGCACAGAGACCACCUCUUGCUCUAAGGCUGUGAGGUGUCUCAGCAUGACCACAUGUUGGCUAAAGCCAACAGGGUUUAGCCUUUGAAAAUGGAAGAAAGCAGUACCUGUGCCUGUGCAGGUGCAUUCUGCUGCAGAGCAAGCUCAGCAUGCUCAUUAUUUUCUGCUAAGGAACUGGGGAUUACUCUGACUUGCUGAAAACCACCUGGUCUAGAUUGUAUCAGAUGUAGCUUAGUAAGAAGGGCAUAAAACUUGCCAGCUCUAACAUCCCACAUUGUUCAUCAACACAGGAUGCUCAGGCUGUAACAGAAAGCUAGAGUGAUAGAAAGAGCACGACCAGCUGACAACUAUUACCUGGUAUUGCUUCUGGUCCCCAUGGCUUGUAGCUCCAUGAGCAGCUUGCUCUGCAGGAAUUCUUGAUGUUUGCAGCACAACUUCUGAGCACUGGAUGUGGCUGGAUUCAGUACAAAAAACGUCUUGAACCAAAGUUUUUCACUAAACACAGUGUUGUCUUCCAACAUUAAAACAAGACAGAAGCUGUGAUUCUUGAUUUGUUGGAGUACAAUAAUAUCUUUGGCCCUGGUCUGCUUGUAAGAUGGUAAAAGUUACAAGCCAUUGUAUUUGUGCCUGUGUUUCUGAUACUUUGGGAUAAGUAACUUAAACAGAGGUCAUGUGAUGUGAUGAACUCCUAGAUGACUCAAUGAAAAUAAAUUUUAAAACAUGUGUUCUCA